AUGCCGGAGGAGAGGGGGGGUGGAGUGGUGAGUGCCCGCGGAAGGGAGCGUGGGCGGCGCGGGGCACCGGGGGGCGCGGAGCCUCCGCCCCACCACAGGAGGCGGACAGGGAGGGAAGAAGGGUGCCCGGAGCGGAGCAGAGCGGUUUCUUCUGAAUUCACUGUACAGAGGUUGCCCAUCCAAAAUCUGUGGAAUCAUGUCACUUGUACAUUCCAGUGGAGAAUGAAUGUUUUCUGGGCAGAAAGCUGGUGUAAAUGACUGCUGCCGCCUCCCAGCGCAAGAUAACCUGCUCAGUCAGCUGGAGCCCCCUGCGGACAGCUGCCUCUCUUUUAGCUGAUGGAAAACUGCUACUAACCGCUGAAUGGAAGAGAGUGGAGCAGCAACCAUACUAGCAGCAGCCGCUGUAGCGAGAGCAAGCAAGGACUCUAUUGUUCCCGAGCGUUAAACAGUUUUUCCUUUGCAACUGACAUGCACAAAAGCAAGAGUGAGGCUUCCAGUCUGCUUCUCCCUGCGAAAAAAUUUUGAAGAAGGGAAUAUUAUUCGGAGGAGGUUUCGCAGUUGGGCUGUGGGCUUUGGACGCGGGCUGCUGGAGGCAUGGGGCUGAGUGAGGGGAGCACUGCUUUCCUCUGUGGGCCAGGGCUCUCCACCUCACCAGCCUGCUGCGUGGGAGUGCUGGUGGUCCUGCUGCUGGGGAACUGGGGCGCUUGGGCACAGAGCGAAUUCCAAACUUCGUCCGUUUAUCUGUGGAAGACUG
This 754-nucleotide long non-coding RNA is filed under the name Coturnix japonica (Japanese quail). RNAcentral describes it as "lncRNA (ENSCJPG00005011765.1)". The record is from RNAcentral. Lineage: Eukaryota; Metazoa; Chordata; Aves; Galliformes; Phasianidae.